GAAGAGAUACCAUAAAGCUACUGC
This 24-nucleotide non-coding RNA is filed under the name Arabidopsis thaliana (thale cress). The record is from RNAcentral. Lineage: Eukaryota; Viridiplantae; Streptophyta; Magnoliopsida; Brassicales; Brassicaceae.